RNAcentral lists this ribosomal RNA (301 nucleotides) under uncultured bacterium. RNAcentral describes it as "partial 16S ribosomal RNA". It matches the Rfam family "Bacterial small subunit ribosomal RNA", at positions 509 to 808 of the family's 1533-position model. The record is from RNAcentral.
CAGUAGCCGCGGUAAUACGUAGGGUGCGAGCGUUAAUCGGAAUUACUGGGCGUAAAGCGUGCGCAGGCGGUUGUGUAAGACAGGUGUGAAAUCCCCGGGCUUAACCUGGGAACUGCGCUUGUGACUGCACAGCUAGAGUAUGGCAGAGGGGGGUGGAAUUCCACGUGUAGCAGUGAAAUGCGUAGAGAUGUGGAGGAACACCGAUGGCGAAGGCAGCCCCUGGGCUAAUACUGACGCUCAUGCGCGAAAGCGUGGGGAGCAAACAGGAUUAGAUACCCCCGUAGUCCCUGUCUCUUAUACA